RNAcentral lists this transfer RNA (55 nucleotides) under Passalurus ambiguus. Its description in RNAcentral is "tRNA-Ser". Lineage: Eukaryota; Metazoa; Nematoda; Chromadorea; Rhabditida; Oxyuridae. The record is from RNAcentral.
AUAGAUUUAUGUUAUAAACAUGAAUUUUUUUUAAGGGAUAUUUGCCUAUUUUAUU